Myripristis murdjan (pinecone soldierfish) is the source of this 687-nucleotide long non-coding RNA. RefSeq lists it as uncharacterized. NCBI's taxonomy places the organism in Eukaryota, Metazoa, Chordata, Actinopteri, Holocentriformes, Holocentridae. The record is from RefSeq and is a predicted model, not a curated record. The transcript is spliced from 5 exons.
CACACAGCGGAGUGACCUGCUUUCUCCAUCCUAACGCAGGAGGAGAGCCCGUAGACUGCCCUGCUUUUGCACUCCCUCUUUCUCCACUUGCUCUGUCUCAGCAUGCACAAAGCUCUCUAUAAAAAGAGUUUAAAAAACAGAAAAGAACAAGGACAUACCUGCACCAUGCGAGGGGAACCCUUCUCUGAUGAGCGCUUACGGACGCCCCCCCCACCUCCCGUUUUCUUGUUUUUAAGAGGAAGCAUAUUGAAAGAGAUUCAGCGUUGGAGGAGGCAGAAGAAGAGGAGGGGAAAGAGGGUGAAGGAGGUGUUGCUGCAGCACCGAGACCACAGCGCCAGGCGGACCGCAUGGGGAAACCCGGGAGCUGUCCAGCAGCAAUGGAGACAACAAUUAUUACAAACAACAGAGAGAUGGAAAUGAGGUGACUUGUGUGCUUGGACAGACCCCGCAGAAGCCCGUGGAGCCUCCACAUGUGUGCAGGGGAAAACAUCCCAUUUUUUGGAUUUCACUGAGAGACGCAGCCAGCCAGCCAGACGAACCGGCCCACCCCACCCUACAUUUCUUCUCCAUCAUCCCGAGAAAGGACCAAAAAGAUGAAUGAAAGGAAAGAAAUGUGACAUAAAAACCCAGGAGAGACACAGAGAGGGAUCAUCGGCACCCAGCAAGACGGGAGGAGGAGGCCUGACG